Molecule: transfer RNA, 86 nt
Filed under: Grifola frondosa (maitake)
Lineage: Eukaryota; Fungi; Basidiomycota; Agaricomycetes; Polyporales; Grifolaceae
Rfam family: tRNA
About the family: Transfer RNA (tRNA) molecules are approximately 80 nucleotides in length. Their secondary structure includes four short double-helical elements and three loops (D, anti-codon, and T loops).
Source: Rfam by way of RNAcentral
CCUUCGAUAGCUCAGUUGGAAGAGCGCGAGACUGUAAUUGGUUACUUGCUAUCUCGAUGUCGCUGGUUCGAUCCCGGCUCGAAGGA